This 145-nucleotide non-coding RNA is filed under the name Lepisosteus oculatus (spotted gar). RNAcentral's name for it is "Eukaryotic large subunit ribosomal RNA". It matches the Rfam family "Eukaryotic large subunit ribosomal RNA", at positions 2826 to 2984 of the family's 3401-position model. The record is from Rfam by way of RNAcentral. Lineage: Eukaryota; Metazoa; Chordata; Actinopteri; Semionotiformes; Lepisosteidae.
AUAACUGGCUUGUGGUGGACACGUAUUCAUAGCGAAGUCACUUUUUGAUGUCUGCUGCUCCUCUUGCUGUGCAGCAGAACCCACCAAACCUUGGAUUGGUCACCCACCAAGAAGAAGGUGGGGCUAUGCCAUCGUGAGACAGGUU